AUUUUUCUUGGGCAGCAUAUAUGCUAAAAUUAGAGCAGUAAACAGAGAUUAACAUGGCCCCUGUGCAAAGAUGACAUAUAAAUUUGUCAUGUGUUCCAUAUUAUA
Erinaceus europaeus (western European hedgehog) is the source of this 105-nucleotide small nuclear RNA. NCBI's taxonomy places the organism in Eukaryota, Metazoa, Chordata, Mammalia, Eulipotyphla, Erinaceidae. The record is from Ensembl.